GCCUAACACAUGCAAGUCGAGCGAUCUUCUUCGGAAGAGAGCGGCGGACGGGUGAGUAACGCGUGGGUAACCUGCCCUGUACACACGGAUAACAUACCGAAAGGUAUGCUAAUACGGGAUAACAUAAGAAAGUCGCAUGGCUUUCUUAUCAAAGCUUUUGCGGUACAGGAUGGACCCGCGUCUGAUUAGCUAGUUGGUAAGGUAACGGCUUACCAAGGCGACGAUCAGUAGCCGACCUGAGAGGGUGAUCGGCCACAUUGGAACUGAGACACGGUCCAAACUCCUACGGGAGGCAGCAGUGGGGAAUAUUGCACAAUGGGCGAAAGCCUGAUGCAGCAACGCCGCGUGAGCGAUGAAGGCCUUCGGGUCGUAAAGCUCUGUCCUCAAGGAAGAUAAUGACGGUACUUGAGGAGGAAGCCCCGGCUAACUACGUGCCAGCAGCCGCGGUAAUACGUAGGGGGCUAGCGUUAUCCGGAAUUACUGGGCGUAAAGGGUGCGUAGGCGGUCUUUCAAGUCAGAAGUGAAAGGCUACGGCUCAACCGUAGUAAGCUUUUGAAACUGUAAGACUUGAGUGCAGGAGAGGAGAGUGGAAUUCCUAGUGUAGCGGUGAAAUGCGUAGAUAUUAGGAGGAGCACCAGUUGCGAAGGCGGCUCUCUGGACUGUAACUGACGCUGAAGCACGAAAGCGUGGGGAGC
RNAcentral lists this ribosomal RNA (695 nucleotides) under uncultured Clostridium sp. RNAcentral's name for it is "bacterial SSU rRNA". It matches the Rfam family "Bacterial small subunit ribosomal RNA", at positions 46 to 769 of the family's 1533-position model. Lineage: Bacteria; Bacillati; Bacillota; Clostridia; Eubacteriales; Clostridiaceae. The record is from RNAcentral.